This 468-nucleotide ribosomal RNA is filed under the name uncultured bacterium. Its description in RNAcentral is "partial 16S ribosomal RNA". It matches the Rfam family "Bacterial small subunit ribosomal RNA", at positions 28 to 507 of the family's 1533-position model. The record is from RNAcentral.
GACGAACGCUGGCGGCGUGCUUAACACAUGCCAGUCGAGCGGACAGGCCCUGCUCUUGUGGGGUGCUCGAGUGGCGAACGGGUGAGUAAAACGUGAGUAACCUGCCCUUGACUUUGGGAUAACUUCAGGAAACUGGGGCUCAUACCGGAUAGGAGCUCCUGCUGCAUGGUGGGGGAUGGAAAGUUUCGGCGGUUGGGGAUCGACGCGCGGCUUAUCAGCUUGUUGGUGGGGUAGUGGCUUACCAAGGCUUUGACGGGUAGCCGGCCUGAGAGGGUGACCGGCCACAUUGGGACUGAGAGACGGCCCAGACUCCUACGGGACGCAGCAGUCGGGAAUAUUGCACAAUGGGGGGAAGCCUGAGGCAGCGACGCCGCGUGCGUGAUGACGGCCUUCGGGGUGUAAACCGCUUUCGCCGGUGACGAAGCGUGAGUGACGGUAAUUGGUAAAGAAGCACCGGCUAACUACGUG